Molecule: transfer RNA, 88 nt
Filed under: Pseudomonadales bacterium
Lineage: Bacteria; Pseudomonadati; Pseudomonadota; Gammaproteobacteria; Pseudomonadales
Also listed under: 1 other name
Description: tRNA-Ser
Rfam family: tRNA
About the family: Transfer RNA (tRNA) molecules are approximately 80 nucleotides in length.
Source: RNAcentral
GGAGAGGUGGUCGAGCGGCCGAAGGCGCUGGUCUUGAAAACCAGAGAUGGGAAACUAUCCGUGGGUUCGAAUCCCACCCUCUCCGCCA